UGGAUUUAUAGAUGCAUAAUUUGCUGCGUGAUACAAAAUGAAAUUGGUAUAUUCUUCUUGCAUCUAAUCACUGAUUUAUGUGGACUUAUUGGAGUUCUAAUGGCGCCAAACGAAGAAGUCAAUUGCGCAACUAAAAGUCUGAGAGGCGACCCCUUGUAUGAGAAAAUACAAGAACUUUAGUGGGAGUUGAAUAAUGAGAGAACCUGGAAGUGUAGAAAAAAGGAAAAGUCGUCGC
Molecule: long non-coding RNA, 235 nt
Filed under: Gossypium barbadense (sea-island cotton)
Lineage: Eukaryota; Viridiplantae; Streptophyta; Magnoliopsida; Malvales; Malvaceae
Description: long non-coding RNA (GBAR_LNC014860)
Source: RNAcentral